UGUUAAAAGUUUCAUCCAUUGUUAAAAACUAACAUGGCUAACAGAGUAACCAAAAAGUGACAUGUGCAAUGCCACAUGUAUCUCAUACUGAUGUAUAUGGAUUAAUUUUUAACUGUAGAAAUGGAUGAAACUUUUUAACA
Gossypium arboreum is the source of this 140-nucleotide non-coding RNA. The record is from Rfam. NCBI's taxonomy places the organism in Eukaryota, Viridiplantae, Streptophyta, Magnoliopsida, Malvales, Malvaceae.